AGAGUUUGAUCCUGGCUCAGAACGAACGCUGGCGGCGUGCCUAACACAUGCAAGUCGUACGAGAAAAUCCGCUUCGGCGGGUGAGUAAAGUGGCGCACGGGUGAGUAACGCGUGGAUAAUCUGCCUUUAAGCGGGGAAUAACUUACCGAAAGGUGGGCUAAUACCCCAUAAAGCUAUGGAGCUCCGGUUUUCAUAGCCAAAGAGAGCCUCUGCAUGCAAGCCCUCACUUAGAGAUGAGUCCGCGUACCAUUAGCUAGUUGGUGGGGUAAUGGCCUACCAAGGCGACGAUGGUUAGCUGGUCUGAGAGGAUGAUCAGCCACACUGGAACUGAGACACGGUCCAGACUCCUACGGGAGGCAGCAGUGAGGAAUAUUGCGCAAUGGGGGCAACCCUGACGCAGCAACGCCGCGUGAGUGAGGAAGGUUUUCGGAUCGUAAAGCUCUGUCGGGUGGGAAGAAAUGUAUGGAGGUUAACAGCCUUUGUACUUGACGGUACCGCCAAAGGAAGCACCGGCUAACUCCGUGCCAGCAGCCGCGGUAAUACGGGGGGUGCUAGCGUUGUUCGGAAUCAUUGGGCGUAAAGAGCGUGUAGGCGGCUAGGCAAGUCAGAUGUGAAAUCCCUGGGCUUAACCCAGGACGUGCAUUUGAAACUGCUUGGCUUGAGUAGGGAAGAGGGAAGUGGAAUUCCUGGUGUAGAGGUGAAAUUCGUAGAUAUCAGGAGGAACACCGGUGGCGAAGGCGACUUCCUGGUCCUAUACUGACGCUGAGACGCGAGAGCGUGGGGAGCAACCAGGAUUAGAUACCCUGGUAGUCCACGCCGUAAA
RNAcentral lists this ribosomal RNA (823 nucleotides) under uncultured bacterium. Its description in RNAcentral is "bacterial SSU rRNA". It matches the Rfam family "Bacterial small subunit ribosomal RNA", at positions 8 to 806 of the family's 1533-position model. The record is from RNAcentral.